Molecule: unclassified non-coding RNA, 416 nt
Filed under: plant metagenome
Description: partial contains 5.8S ribosomal RNA, internal transcribed spacer 2, and large subunit ribosomal RNA
Rfam family: Bacterial small subunit ribosomal RNA
Source: RNAcentral
GGAAUAUUGCGCAAUGGGCGAAAGCCUGACGCAGCGACGCCGCGUGUGGGAUGACGGCCUUCGGGUUGUAAACCACUGUCGGGAGGGACGAAUGCCCCGCAAGGGGAGUGACGGUACCUCCAAAGGAAGCACCGGCUAACUCCGUGCCAGCAGCCGCGGUAAUACGGAGGGUGCGAGCGUUGUCCGGAAUCACUGGGCGUAAAGGGCGCGUAGGCGGCCUGAUAAGUAGGGGGUGAAAUCCUGCGGCUUAACCGCAGGGCUGCCUUCUAAACUGUCGGGCUCGAGCACAGUAGAGGCAGGUGGAAUUCCCGGUGUAGCGGUGGAAUGCGUAGAGAUCGGGAAGAACAUCAGUGGCGAAGGCGGCCUGCUGGGCUGUAGCUGACGCUGAGGCGCGACAGCGUGGGGAGCAAACAGGA